AGUUAGUACUAUCUGGACAAUACACCUAUACCAAUGAAAUGAGUUGGACUUUUUAUAUGGGCCUCAGUAUAUACCAUCAUUUUGGAAUUUUGGGUAGCUAAAGUACUUAGCUAAAUUAGUUUUCAGUCAAAGGUAUGGCUGUUUGGCCGAAUAGCUACUUAAACAGUUGACUGCGACAUCAUUCUUCGGUCGGAAAAUUUUCAGACCACCACAUAUUACCUAAUAGGUACCUACUUUAUUAACCGAGGACCUCUGAGAGCGCGGAACUCUAAAAAGGGCUCUAAAAACCAUGUUUUGUAGUGAUGAUAAUGCAAACCAUGAUUUUCCGCUACAAUCAGGCGAAGCCACGCCCUCGUAUAAAAGGCAAGUUCACAGUCAUGGUGAAUCAAAGUGGUGACUGAAACCGGAGACAUGAAGACGCUAGUGCUAACAGUCGCUCUUUUGACGUUAUUUUAUUCAUGUGUAUUGGCAUACCAAAUUUCACUUCAAUCGCCUAGCAUUUCAUAUAAUCUCGACGACAUUGAAAAUUUGCAUCGUGAGAAAAGGCAGUUGGAAAAUUUCGAUGAUGAAUACCCGACUGGGGCAAGUCAACACGAGGAAGAAGAACCAGGAUUCUGGGACAGAAUUGUCAAAGUCGCACUUAAGUUAUUUAGUAGAUUUAUAGAAUGGUUGAACGCAUCAUAAUAAAUACCUCACUAGAAUAAUCUAAGGCGUGAUGCGGCGAGCCAGUAAUAACAGUCCUACACAACAUCAAAUGCGUGUCCAUUGUAUUGUAAUUUAUUAAUUUAAUAUUUUUAAUUGUA
Long non-coding RNA from Helicoverpa armigera (cotton bollworm), 803 nucleotides. RefSeq lists it as uncharacterized. The record is from RefSeq and is a predicted model, not a curated record. The transcript has 4 exons. NCBI's taxonomy places the organism in Eukaryota, Metazoa, Arthropoda, Insecta, Lepidoptera, Noctuidae.